GCAUUUUUUACCAUCCCAAAACAAUAUUACGCUAUAUUAAAUUGACACUGGUUGAGCUCUAGGACCAAGCGGAAAACAACUGUUUGUGUUGAAGCCUGUUUCCCAUUAGAACAUGCUGUAAAGAUACGCCCCCCCAUCAUGCCGAUGCAUGAGGCUGGUGUCAGUCACUGUGGGACGCCUGUUGAGUCUGAGAACACGGCAGCUUGCUGAUGGAUGCUGAGACUGCAGCUGCCGAGUGUUGUAUUACUGUGGCAUGUCCUUAUCUUCACUCUGGUUUAGUUGUGAGGUGGUACAGCACUUCCAUGGACUCCUGGCUGUACGAGGUAAAAACCCAUCUAAGGAUCUUGCUGGAGUCUUGAGUUUCUUAUUCAGGUAGUGAGGCUGCUCUCAUUUGUACUGGUAACCUCUACCUCCAUCACAUCCUCCUUCAUCCAAAACAAGGGAUCAACUUACUUCCUGUUACCCUGGCCCUUACUUCUCUUUCACGCGGAGUCAUGCAGCAUCCACGGGCUGGCUCACUGUUCAUGCCAGAGUGACCGACGCAUCCCAUAGCUGGUUGAAGUGUGACCUGCAGCAGGGUUGGUGUGGCUGCGUAUGACUCUCAUGCUACUGAAGCUCCUCUUUGUCAAAUGAAUACAACAUCUGAUUACCAAUGUGUGGUUUCUCUGGAAUUGAGUCAUCCAGCUGCUUGGUUGAGAUGUUUUGGUGAGUUCUGUAUGGAUGCACAUACUUAACCCUUCUGCUCACCCUACAAAUUAAUCUUCCUCCUACUUCCAUUUAAUGUCACAGGUGUGAAGAAGAAGAAGAAGAAGAAGAAGAAGAAGAAGAAGAAGAAGAAGAAGAAGAAGGCACAAACACACAUGACAUGCAAACAAUGGACAGACAAGGAACACAGAACUGGGAGGGUUUAAAUACACGAGUAGCUGGGAUCUACAGUGAUUGGGAGAUGAGAGGCAGGUGGGAGCAAUCAGGAGAGACACAGGACUGAACAGAGUGGGGAGACAGGACAGGUUGUGACAUUUAAAAGCCCCACUUAAACGGUAGAAAACAGGUUUUCCAAUGAAAGAAGUCACAACCAAAAAUAAACACAAGUUUACUCUGCUGUUCGGUUUUUGCAUCUGUGACAUGCUACAUGGUAGCCCUGCUGGGUUCAGAAACAGGCAACAGGACUUUAGAUUUUCUUCUCAUCCAAGAAGUUCUCUCAGUUAUAAACAAGCAACAUUACGUUUCCCUUGUACCACCAGCCCAGAACACGGCUUCAUCAGGCAGUCUGUAGAGGAUAAAUCAGUCCGUCUUCCCGUGUGCAGCAGAAACUUGGCAUGACAGUUAGCUGUGCGCAUGAGCAGUUUACCUCCGGCUGAGCUCAGCAAAAGGAUUGAAUCAGGAGCCGUGAGAGGCUGAGUGGGACUAACUGGAAGAGACAGGAGUUGAUCGGUAUCUACGAGCCCAGCUGACUAGUCGUACGGGUCCACUCGUCCACAGGCUGGACAUUUCUCCUCUCCACCAUGAGACGUCCAAAAAACACCUGAACAUGAUUGCCUCUAACGACCACAGACUCUGAACUUCUUCACUUUCUACCGAAACUCAAAGUUUUCACUUCAAAGCUUUAAAGUCUAACGUUGGAGCUAUGAACCUUUUAUUUAUGCAUCUGUUACUUUGAUUUUGCUGGUUUAAUCUAACAAAGCCUAAUCAGACAGUGAAGACAGAUUAUCAACCAAACAUCUUGUUUUUGGGUUUUAUUAGCAGCACCCUUCUGAUACUCCAUUUUUCAAAACCUUUUGAAUGAUGAACAAACAACCCAUUAAGACAUUUAGGUGCUUACACUAAAAGACUUAAAAUUCGCUGCAGAAUGCUCCGGGAGUUGUAUUUUUCCACUUAUGUUGUCAUUUCAGUUCCCAGUCUUAGAAAUGUUGGGUGAAGAACUCGAAAAUCUGGGAGGGGUUUGGAGUAGAGCCACACCCACACCCAGAGCAGGUGAGGGUGGUUCCCUGUUGUGACAUCACAAACAAGGCACUUUGAAAAGGCGUGUUUAAUGCACAUAAUUCCUAAAAAACCAAACACUGACAUAAAGUGACUCGACAAUGUGUUUUUGUAGAGGAUGCAACAUGUUGGUUGUUUGGUUUGUGAAAAGUACAAGUGGUUUAAUGAUAAUGAAAAUAAGUCGUUAAUGAUUACAAAUCAAAUUGUGUUGUGUUUGAUAACUGAUAUUCAAUUCAAUUCAAAUUCAAAAAUACUUUAUUAACCCCAGAGGGAAAUUGAUUAUUUACAUAUAGUCAACAGAGCUACUCCAACAUGCAGCCGCCCAGAGCAGCGCAGUUCCGGAACAAGAAUCUGUAAAGUAAAAAAGUCAAAUAAAUAACAAGAAUUUCAAACCUUAUGAUAACUUCCUGAUGUGUUCCUCGGGUGAUCACAACAAUAAAAACGUGCAUGGAUUGUGUCCUAAAGCGGUCGUGGAUGUUUUCCUUUCUAAAUAUUUAUUUACCCACAUCACCCCGCUUCUCUUCCAGCUUCACUGGCUGCCAGUCAACUUCAGGGUUCAUUUCAAGAUCCUGGUUCUGGUCUAUAGGGCCUUACAUGGACAAGCACCAUCUUACAUUGGUGAUCUUCUUAGUCCCUACACCCCCAGCAGGUCCCUGAGAUCCAGUGAUCAAAGCCUACUGGUUGUGCAGCACCAGGCUAAAGGUCAAAGGUAACAGAUCAUUUGCUGCUGUGGCCCCCAGACUCUGGAACUCUCUCCCCCUGAGCCUGAGAUCAGUGGACUCAGUGGUCUCCUUUAAAAAGCAGCUGAAGACUCACUUGUUCAAGCUGGCUUUUGUAUGACCUUCUUCACCUCUCUCUCUUUAUUCUGCUCUCCCCACCUAUAGAGCUCCGGGAGUUGACGUCACUUCUCCCGGCAUGCAACAGUUCAAAUCGAAAUGGCGCCAUCUUGGCAGGCAGAAGCCGGCAGCUGGACUAUUUGUUAUUGUCAGAAAACUCAAUCAGACAGGAAAUAUGGUAGAUUCCUGUUGUGCCCCAGGAUGCAGAACAGACACGGACGACUUAAGGAAUGAGCCAUCUACAGGAUUCCCAAGAUCCGGAGCGCCGCAAACGUUGGAUGAUUGUAAUAAAACACGCUAGUGACCAGGCGAAAAUGAAACUGUGGGAUCCCGAGAGUAAAGGUUUUCGCUUAUGCAGCGACCGCUUCAUAUCAGGUACUUAAACCAACGUUUCCUCAACUGUGUAUGGUAUUUAUUUUAAAUGCUUUUAUUGUGAUUCUUAGUGGGCUUCCUAAACUUAUUUUGGCGUGGCUUUUUCUGUCUUAUUACUCAUAGCAACAAGUAAACGUCACGUAAAACGUUGCCUCGUGAGUUCUGCGUGCUGCCGUUUCCGUGUUUUAUGAUCACAGCAAUUAACCGGCUAAGCUGUAUUUAAUUUUUAAGCAAUGGUUGAUCAAUUGUCAGAUCACACAUAAAAAGCACUUUGGAUUGCUAUUAUCUGUCUCACCGAGACUACUUACAUGUAAAUCUGUUAUUUGUCCGUCCAUCCAUCCAUUUUCAUCCGCGUAUCCGGAGUCGGGUUGCGGGGGCAGUAGCGUGACUUUCCUCUCCCCAGCCGCCGGAGCCAGCUCCUCCGGGUAAAUCCCAAGGGGUUCCCCGGUCAGGUCCGGUGUUGUGCCGGUAAGAAGUCCGCUCCGACAGCUUCUGGCGUUUUUAAAAAGUAUCCCAGGGGCACGGUAAGGGUUGGAGAUGUUUAGUCUAUUUAAUUUCUGAGUAUAUAAAACGAUUUCUUCUGUUUUAAAGUGUGAAGUAAACUCCGACGAAGUAAAAUCCAAGCGGAUCCCGUUCAUGUUCAUGGUUACAUCCGUGUUUGUUUACCUUUUUUGCAUGCCAAAAUGGCGUCCACCAACUGAGAGUCACAUGGGGUCCGGAGCUCUAUUCCACCUUCCUCAGGAUCCACUGAUUUCCCUCUUUCCUGUUCACGCCUCAAGAUUUUUAUCUUGAGAGGCGCUAUAGAAAUGAUUCUUUCUUCUUCUUAGAUUUUCACGUCUCAAAUGUUUGCUCCUUGUUUAAUUCACACGUGUCCACUACCUGCACACUGACCCCGACUGGCUGCGUAUUGGUGCCGAAUGCUAAGGAGCCGCUGCCCUGUGUGAGAAACAGGAAGUUGAAUGAGACCAUUAACUGCAAGCAACAAUGGUGGCCAUAUGGAGAGGGCAUGGCCAUGCAUAAAGAACUGAGGAGACAAUGGCUCAAACGUCUCCCACCAUCAGAUCCUGCAGUGGUAAUGAGCAACAUGACAGAUUAGGCAACAAAUUACACAUCAACAAAAUGAGACUGUGUGAUAGAAAAUGAGAGGAAGGAAAGAGGGUGCUCUAGCCUGAAGGAGAGAAGAGGGUUAAUCAUCCAGGUUGAAUGGCUGGCAGCUUCUCUCACUGAGAAACAGCAGGCUGUGAACCGAAACAAACACAAGGAAGCAGGAAACAUACAGCUGAGAGGGGAAGGUGAUGUAAACAGCCCCGUUUCUUACACCAGCUGGAACCCAAACCCUCGGGUGAUCCUGAUUUUCUCUGCCAGAUCUUGGAGUCAGCAUGGAAACAAAUCAUUCCCUGGCUAACAGGUAGAGGCUCAAUCAGAUGCACUGCCUCCAACCGGCUAGAAUUCAAUUAUGUAAAGAACGAGUUACGGUUGAAGGAUGGAAAUAAACAAGGUGCUGUGAUGUUUUAUUCAUCCCAAAAUGCCUCCUGCAUUAAACAGCUGCAGCAGUGAGCUGUCUGAAGCCCUGUUUGCCUUCAGGGUGUCAGAGAAGAUGGGUAGAAAUGUUCACAUUUGCAUUACUUCACAUUCCGAAGCUAAAAUAGUCUUUAGUGACUUAAAACACAAUGAUGUUGUUAAAAAAGAUGCCUUGAAAGAUUCAGACAGAAUUCAAAGGCUGGUCUGAGUAAACUUCUCCAGGUACAAUUAGUGGGCCUGUGGUCAUCAGCCGGUGGUUCCAGCACACAAUUAUUUCUAUGUGAUUAGAUUUGUGCCAAUAGGAUCAAGAAAAACACUUUGGAGAUCAAACAAAUAUUAAGACACUGAGAGAAAAAAUAAAUCAUUUUAAAAGUAAAACUUACUUUCUGAAUCAACUUCUUAAACUGAGUAAUAAAGUAUCUUUCCUUUUUCUGUUUGACUCUAUGUGCUUUUGUUAUCAAUUUCCUUUGUUUUAUUCUCGCUGCUCACAGCUUUGAUCUCACUACCAGAUUUGCACUUACACUUUCUGGCUUUCUCCUUUGCAAUCCCUGACUUUUGGUUGCAAUUCUGACACAACCCUCUCGAGUGGGUGGGACUUCUGAGAAGUCCUCUCCCAUAGGACAGUGGUUUCUCUUGAGUGACAGUUCAGUGACCCGGAAGUGAUGUAGCCUCCAAGACUUUUUUUUCCACCUCGGUCAACAACAUGAAUUUUGAGCCCCAAACACGUUAUGUCGGCUGUCUGUGGUGUAGGAUUCGGUUUAAAGUUCUUUUACUGUUUUUAAAGCUUUAAACGGUUUGGCUCCGGCUUAUAUGGCAGACACACUGAAUUCGUACGUUCCCUCUCAGGCACUCCGUUAUGGACCUGUCCUUGCUCGUGGUGCCCUGGUCACGGCUGAAGAUGCGGGGUGACAGAACCUUUUCAGUUGCAACUCCAAAACUAUUGAAUGAACUUCCAUUACACAUUCGGCAUUCCUCUUCUGUAGAAGUUUCUAGAUCAAAGCUGAAGACCCAUUUUUAUGAACUGGCUUUUAAAUCUGUAGCCUCUUUUAUAAGACAGACCAUCGCGUCAUUACAGAGUGAUAAAUCCGAAUUUGUGGGUCUCGGAAAUGCGGUAAGGAGCAAAGGGGAAAGGUGAUAAAACUCAAUUCUGAUGCACUUAGCCUCGUAUUGAUAUUGCCGCAUGAGCCCCUCGCCUCUGACGGCUAAACGCGUGUCAGCCCCACUAAUCCCUUUGGAGUGACUGUGGGAGGUCCCCCUGCAAAAGAGGGUGGUCGCGUUAAGCCGGGCGUACACUGUGCGACUUUUUCACUCGUAGCACUCAAGCUUCAGCUCAAACUGUACGACUUCCUCGCAGAGCAGAUCUCACGAGCCAGGCGCUCACACUGCACGUCUGGUAGCAACACGUCGGCCCUAAAAAUAUGCUAAAAAUAGCCGUUUUUACACAACACGUCAGACUUUUUUGUCUUGUCUUGCCUGUUGUCCUUCGGGAGUGCUGCAGGAGGACACACAGGGAUUUAUGGGGGUUGGAUGAGGAAAACGAAAUAAAGAAAGUAAAUCUGUGUUUUGUGAUCAGUUUCAUUUGACAUGAACACGACAAACACGCUUUCUUGACAAUCUCUGUGAGUAAAAAAAACGUGUAGAAACAAAAACGAACAACGUGUGUUAUUAGGGAAAUAGCGGGGAGCGGCGUUGAUGCAGGAUUGCGCAUGCGCCGUGAGCGGUUCUGGUACUUUUUGGGUCGCAGCUGCUUGCAGCGCCGCUUCAACAGUGCGAUACCCUCACGAGGGACGAGCGAAAUAUUAAACACGCCAGAAGUCCGUGCGACCUCACGACUGCUGAUCGGCAGCUGGUCACGUGGUGUUAAUCGCCUCUCGUAACCCCCGUACACUACACGACCGCUCGGCGCAAAACUCGCCCCGAUGUCGUGGAUUCUCGCACGACUGGAAAAUCGGCUCAAAAAAGUGAAAAAGUUCCACAGUGUACGCCCAGCCUUAGUGACAUCUACUGCGCCGAGUGCCGGCCGGAAGGGAUAUAAACACAGACAAACAUGGCCUCUCACUAGUAUCUUUCAACCACCUACAACAUGGCAAACUGGACAGACACGGAGACCAUGGAGCCUUUGGCCGUGCGAGCGGACGAACAGAUUAGUCGCCUUUUUACGGGGACGGUGAGAGACAGCCAGCUGUUCGACAGAGUGGUGGAAACACUGGCUGAGCGGGUCGUCAAGCGGGACAAAAAGCAGGUCACAUCAAAGCUAAAGGUCAACCAAAAUCCUCCCCAGGGAGCCGCGGCAAAUCCCGUUUAGCAAACGCUAUGGUCCUGUAAAAACAGCUUGUGUGAGUGAUUGACUUAGAUGCUUUUUUAGAUAAAUUUUAAUGUUUUUAUUUGAUUGUAUUUAUUUAUUUAAUUUUUAAUUUUUUCAUUUUUAGUGGAUUUUAUGUGUUAUGUUUUUAUCUGUGUCUGUGAAGCACUUUGGUAGCAUGUAAGUGUCUGUAAGGGGCUUAAUAAAUAAAGUUUGAGUCAAGUCAUUAAAUAAAUGAAAAGAAGUAGAAAAUAAUUAGUCC
Molecule: long non-coding RNA, 7273 nt
Organism: Nothobranchius furzeri (turquoise killifish)
Lineage: Eukaryota; Metazoa; Chordata; Actinopteri; Cyprinodontiformes; Nothobranchiidae
Source: RefSeq, a predicted model, not a curated record